UGAGCCGAAGCCAGUAAUGAUCUAAAAGACU
RNAcentral lists this non-coding RNA (31 nucleotides) under Rattus norvegicus (Norway rat). Lineage: Eukaryota; Metazoa; Chordata; Mammalia; Rodentia; Muridae. The record is from RNAcentral.